Molecule: ribosomal RNA, 1425 nt
Filed under: metagenome
Description: bacterial LSU rRNA
Rfam family: Bacterial large subunit ribosomal RNA
Source: RNAcentral
UUAGCGGGAGCCGGGAAUGGAAAGCCCGGUACAAGCGAGGUACCAGUAUGGUAGGAAAAUCCGCCAUGCAAUGGGAAGACGUGAUGUGGAGUGAAUUUUAGUAACGAAGCCCGUGAGCCAUGCGUCAAGAAAAGCCGCUAUCGUUCAUAUUGUACCCGUACCGUAAACCGACACAGGUGGAUGAGGAGAGAAACCUAAGGCCGGCGGAAGAAGUAUUGCCAAGGAACUCGGCAAAAUGGCCCCGUAACUUAGGGAGAAGGGGUGCCUGCGAGAGCAGGCCGCAGAGAAUAGGCUCAAGCAACUGUUUAGCAAAAACACAGGUCUAUGCGAAACCGAAAGGUGAGGUAUAUGGGCUGACGCCUGCCCGGUGCUGGAAGGUUAAGAGGAGAGGUUAGACGUAAGUCGAAGCUUUGAAUUUAAGCCCCAGUAAACGGCGGCCGUAACGAUAACGGUCCUAAGGUAGCGAAAUUCCUUGUCGGGUAAGUUCCGACCCGCACGAAAGGCGUAAUGAUUUGAGCGCUGUCUCGGCAAUACAUCCGGUGAAAUUGAAGUGCCAGUGAAGAUGCUGGCUACCCGCGCCAGGACGGAAAGACCCCAUGGAGCUUUACUCCAGUUUGGCACUGGGGUCCGGUGUUGCAUGUACAGGAUAGGUGGGAGGCUGAGAAACGGUAGCGUCAGUUGCCGCGGAGCCGCUGUUGGGAUACCACCCUUGUGAUAUUGGGCUUCUAACCAGCCGCCGUAAUCCGGCGGUGGGACAAUGCCAGGCGGGGAGUUUGACUGGGGCGGUCGCCUCCGAAAGGGUAUCGGAGGCGCCCAAAGGUUCCCUCAGAAUGGACGGAAACCAUUCGAAGAGUGCAAAGGCAGAAGGGAGCUUGACUGCGACACCGACGGGUGGAGCAGGUACGAAAGUAGGGCUUAGUGAUCCGGUGGUAUUAAGUGGGAAUGCCAUCGCUCAACGGAUAAAAGCUACCCUGGGAUAACAGGCUUAUCACUCCCAAGAGUUCACAUCGACGGAGUGGUUUGGCACCUCGAUGUCGGCUCAUCGCAUCCUGGGGCUGUAGUAAGUCCCAAGGGUUGGGCUGUUCGCCCAUUAAAGCGGUACGCGAGCUGGGUUCAGAACGUCGUGAGACAGUUCGGUCCCUAUCCGGCGUGGGCGUAGGAUAUCUGAGAGGAGCUGUCCUUAGUACGAGAGGACCGGGAUGGACGGACCGCUGGUGGACCGGUUGGCUUGCCAAAGCCAUGGCCGGGUAGCCAAGUCCGGAAGGGAUAAACGCUGAAGGCAUCUAAGCGUGAAGCCCCCCUCAAGAUGAGAUAUCCCAUUCUUUAAGAAGUAAACCCCCUUGAAGACGACGAGGUAGAUAGGGCAGAGGUGGAAGUGUGGUAACACAUGGAGCUGACUGUUACUAAUCGGGUGAGGGCUUGACC